UUGAACGCUGGCGGAAUGCUUUACACAUGCAGGUCGAACGGCAGCACGGGGGCAACCCUGGUGGCGAGUGGCGAACGGGUGAGUAAUACAUCGGAACGUGCCCAGUCGUGGGGGAUAACGUAGCGAAAGCUACGCUAAUACCGCAUACGAUCUACGGAUGAAAGCGGGGGAUCGCAAGACCUCGCGCGAUUGGAGCGGCCGAUGGCAGAUUAGGUAGUUGGUGGGGUAAAGGCUCACCAAGCCGACGAUCUGUAGCUGGUCUGAGAGGACGACCAGCCACACUGGGACUGAGACACGGCCCAGACUCCUACGGGAGGCAGCAGUGGGGAAUUUUGGACAAUGGGCGCAAGCCUGAUCCAGCCAUUCCGCGUGCAGGAUGAAGGCCCUCGGGUUGUAAACUGCUUUUGUACGGAACGAAAAGGCUCUGGUUAAUACCCGGUGCUCAUGACGGUACCGUAAGAAUAAGCACCGGCUAACUACGU
Molecule: ribosomal RNA, 482 nt
Filed under: uncultured bacterium
Lineage: Bacteria
Description: bacterial SSU rRNA
Rfam family: Bacterial small subunit ribosomal RNA
Source: RNAcentral